This 406-nucleotide ribosomal RNA is filed under the name uncultured bacterium. Its description in RNAcentral is "partial 16S ribosomal RNA". It matches the Rfam family "Bacterial small subunit ribosomal RNA", at positions 30 to 526 of the family's 1533-position model. The record is from RNAcentral.
AUUGAACGCUGGCGGCAUGCUUUACACAUGCAAGUCGAACGAGUGGCGAACGGGUGAGUAAUGCCUCGGAACCUGCCUUGUAAAGGGGGAUAACUGUUCGAAACGAUAGCUAAUACCGCAUACCAUCCGAUCUGCCCAUGUGCGAUUAGCUGGUUGGCGGGGUAAAGGCUCACCAAGGCGACGAUCAGUAGCUGGUCUGAGAGGAUGAACGGCCACCCUGUAACUUAGACACGGCCCAGACUCCUACGGGAGGCAGCAGUGGGGAAUUUUGUACAAUGGGCGCAAGCCUGAUCCAGCCAUGCCGCGUGUGUGAAGAAGGCCUUCGGGUUGUAAAGGACUUUCGGCGGGGAAGCGGUGCCUGCAGAAGAAGCACCGGCUAACUCCGUGCCAGCAGCCGCGGUAAUAC